GAUGAACGCUGGCGGCGUGCCUAAUACAUGCAAGUCGAGCGAACAGAUAAGGAGCUUGCUCCUUUGACGUUAGCGGCGGACGGGUGAGUAACACGUGGAUAACCUACCUAUAAGACUGGGAUAACUUCGGGAAACCGGAGCUAAUACCGGAUAACAUAUUGAACCGCAUGGUUCAAUAGUGAAAGGCGGCUUUGCUGUCACUUAUAGAUGGAUCCGCGCCGUAUUAGCUAGUUGGUAAGGUAACGGCUUACCAAGGCAACGAUACGUAGCCGACCUGAGAGGGUGAUCGGCCACACGGGAACUGAGACACGGUCCAGACUCCUACGGGAGGCAGCAGUAGGGAAUCUUCCGCAAUGGGCGAAAGCCUGACGGAGCAACGCCGCGUGAGUGAUGAAGGUCUUCGGAUCGUAAAACUCUGUUAUCAGGGAAGAACAAAUGUGUAAGUAACUGUGCACAUCUUGACGGUACCUGAUCAGAAAGCCACGGCUAACUACGUG
Molecule: ribosomal RNA, 497 nt
Filed under: uncultured bacterium
Lineage: Bacteria
Description: partial 16S ribosomal RNA
Rfam family: Bacterial small subunit ribosomal RNA
Source: RNAcentral